CCUACGGGAGGCAGCAGUGGGGAAUUUUGGACAAUGGGCGCAAGCCUGAUCCAGCCAUGCCGCGUGCGGGAAGAAGGCCUUCGGGUUGUAAACCGCUUUUGUCAGGGAAGAAAAGGUUCUGGUUAAUACCUGGGACUCAUGACGGUACCUGAAGAAUAGGCACCGGCUAACUACGUGCCAGCAGCCGCGGUAAUACGUAGGGUGCAAGCGUUAAUCGGAAUUACUGGGCGUAAAGCGUGCGCAGGCGGUUAUGCAAGACAGAUGUGAAAUCCCCGGGCUCAACCUGGGAACUGCAUUUGUGACUGCAUAGCUAGAGUACGGUAGAGGGGGAUGGAAUUCCGCGUGUAGCAGUGAAAUGCGUAGAUAUGCGGAGGAACACCGAUGGCGAAGGCAAUCCCCUGGACCUGUACUGACGCUCAUGCACGAAAGCGUGGGGAGCAAACAGGAUUAGAUACCCUGGUAGUCCACGCCCUAAACGAUGUCAACUGGUUGUUGGGAGGGUUUCUUCUCAGUAACGAAGCUAACGCGUGAAGUUGACCGCCUGGGGAGUACGGCCGCAAGGUUGAAACUUAAAUGAAUUGACG
This 584-nucleotide ribosomal RNA is filed under the name uncultured bacterium. RNAcentral's name for it is "bacterial SSU rRNA". It matches the Rfam family "Bacterial small subunit ribosomal RNA", at positions 338 to 915 of the family's 1533-position model. The record is from RNAcentral.